AAUAACAGGUCUGUGAUGCCC
Molecule: non-coding RNA, 21 nt
Filed under: Arabidopsis thaliana (thale cress)
Lineage: Eukaryota; Viridiplantae; Streptophyta; Magnoliopsida; Brassicales; Brassicaceae
Also listed under: 2 other names
Source: RNAcentral